GAAGGGAUAGGAUAAGGUAAUCUACUGGGCUCAUCCCCCAGCGAUACUGUCUAAUAAGCAGUUCCCUUUA
RNAcentral lists this transfer RNA (70 nucleotides) under Tridacna gigas (giant clam). RNAcentral describes it as "tRNA-Met". Lineage: Eukaryota; Metazoa; Mollusca; Bivalvia; Cardiida; Cardiidae. The record is from RNAcentral.